UACAGAGGUCCCAAGCGUUGUUCGGAUUCACUGGGCGUAAAGGGUGCGUAGGCGGUCGGGUAAGUCUGAUGUGAAAUCUCACAGCUUAACUGUGAAACUGCAUUGGAUACUAUUCGGCUUGAGAGUUGGAGGGGGGACUGGAAUUCUUGGUGUAGCAGUGAAAUGCGUAGAUAUCAAGAGGAACACCAGUGGCGAAGGCGAGUCCCUGGACAACUUCUGACGCUGAGGCACGAAAGCUAGGGGAG
RNAcentral lists this ribosomal RNA (245 nucleotides) under uncultured bacterium. Its description in RNAcentral is "partial 16S ribosomal RNA". It matches the Rfam family "Bacterial small subunit ribosomal RNA", at positions 524 to 768 of the family's 1533-position model. The record is from RNAcentral.